This 442-nucleotide ribosomal RNA is filed under the name uncultured bacterium. Its description in RNAcentral is "partial 16S ribosomal RNA". It matches the Rfam family "Bacterial small subunit ribosomal RNA", at positions 338 to 795 of the family's 1533-position model. The record is from RNAcentral.
CCUACGGGCGGCAGCAGUGGGGAAUAUUGGGCAAUGGGCGCAAGCCUGACCCAGCAACGCCGCGUGCAGGAAGACGGCUCUCGGGGUGUAAACUUCUUUUGACAGGGAAGAGUAGAAGAGGGUGCCUGUCGAGUAAGCCACGGCUAACUACGUGACAGCAGCCGCAGUAAUACGGAGGUUGCAAGCGUUGUCCGGAUUUACUGGGUGUAAAGGGCGUGUAGCCGGGUUGACAAGUCAGUUGGGAAAGCCUGCGGCUUAACCGUAGAACUGCAGUUGAAACUGUUGAUCUUGAGUACUGGAGGGGCAGACGGAAUUCCUGGUGUAGCGGUGAAAUGCGUAGAUAUUAGGAGGAACACCAGUGGCGAAGGCGGUCUGCUGGACAGCAACUGACGGUGAGGCGCGAAAGCGUGGGGAGCAAACAGGAUUAGAUACCCCAGUAGUC